UGGGGCGUCGCCAAGUGGUAAGGCACGAGACUUUGGAUCUCGCUAUCGGGGGUUCGAAUCCUCCCGCCCCAACCA
RNAcentral lists this transfer RNA (75 nucleotides) under Acidobacteriota bacterium. RNAcentral's name for it is "Acidobacteria bacterium (sponge metagenome) tRNA-Gln". It matches the Rfam family "tRNA". From Rfam's summary of the family: Transfer RNA (tRNA) molecules are approximately 80 nucleotides in length. Their secondary structure includes four short double-helical elements and three loops (D, anti-codon, and T loops). Further hydrogen bonds mediate the characteristic L-shaped molecular structure. tRNAs have two regions of fundamental functional importance: the anti-codon, which is responsible for specific mRNA codon recognition, and the 3' end, to which the tRNAs corresponding amino acid is attached (by aminoacyl-tRNA synthetases). tRNAs cope with the degeneracy of the genetic code in two manners: having more than one tRNA (with a specific anti-codon) for a particular amino acid; and 'wobble' base-pairing, i.e. permitting non-standard base-pairing at the 3rd anti-codon position. Lineage: Bacteria; Pseudomonadati; Acidobacteriota. RNAcentral also lists the same sequence under 2 other names. The record is from RNAcentral.